UGUCCAAUCAAUUUAGUAGAUAUUUGUAAUUUAUAUCGUCUACAAAGUUGAUUCGACAGU
This 60-nucleotide non-coding RNA is filed under the name Blattella germanica (German cockroach). Lineage: Eukaryota; Metazoa; Arthropoda; Insecta; Blattodea; Blattellidae. The record is from RNAcentral.